Molecule: unclassified non-coding RNA, 271 nt
Filed under: uncultured fungus
Lineage: Eukaryota; Fungi
Description: partial contains 5.8S ribosomal RNA, internal transcribed spacer 2, and large subunit ribosomal RNA
Source: RNAcentral
AACGCACCUUGCGCUCCUAGGUCUUCCGAGGAGCAUGCCUGUUUGAGUGCCCAGAAUCAAUCUCAACUAAUACUCUGCGUGUUGGUUGGAUAUGGAGGCUGCCGUUGACUUGCUCACAGCUCUUCCUAAAUAUAUUAGCUGCUUGGUGAUAACACCGUUGGCUUGAUAUCAUGUCUAUGCUGCGGUUGAGUCGUUCCAGUGCUUCUAAUAGUCUUUGGACAAUUUUCUGACCUCGGGCCUCAAAUCAGGUAGGAUUACCCGCUGAACUUAA